RNAcentral lists this ribosomal RNA (491 nucleotides) under uncultured bacterium. RNAcentral describes it as "bacterial SSU rRNA". It matches the Rfam family "Bacterial small subunit ribosomal RNA", at positions 28 to 507 of the family's 1533-position model. The record is from RNAcentral.
GAUGAACGCUAGCUACAGGCUUAACACAUGCAAGUCGAGGGGAAACGAUAUUGGAAGCUUGCUUCCGAUAGGCGUCGACCGGCGCACGGGUGAGUAACGCGUAUCCAACCUGCCCGCCACUUGGGGAUAACCUUGCGAAAGUAAGACUAAUACCCGAUGAUAUCUCUAGAAGACAUCUGAAAGGGAUUAAAGAUUUAUCGGUGAUGGAUGGGGAUGCGUCUGAUUAGCUUGUUGGCGGGGUAACGGCCACCAAGGCUACGAUCAGUAGGGGUUCUGAGAGGAAGGUCCCCCANAUUGGAACUGAGACACGGUCCAAACUCCUACGGGAGGCAGCAGUGAGGAAUAUUGGUCAAUGGACGGGAGUCUGAACCAGCCAAGUAGCGUGCAGGAUGACGGCCCUAUGGGUUGUAAACUGCUUUUAUAAGGGAAUAAAGUGAGUCUCGUGAGACUUUUUGCAUGUACCUUAUGAAUAAGGACCGGCUAAUUCCGUG